Molecule: long non-coding RNA, 1075 nt
Filed under: Gossypium barbadense (sea-island cotton)
Lineage: Eukaryota; Viridiplantae; Streptophyta; Magnoliopsida; Malvales; Malvaceae
Description: long non-coding RNA (GBAR_LNC013297)
Source: RNAcentral
AUUAUAUUGGAUCAUGGUUGUUUAAAUGGAAUGCUUAAUUUGAGUUUAAUGGAGAAGCACUCGUUUCAUAUAAUAUAAAUCUAUGCAUAUAUAACUGGAAAAGAAAAAUAAAGUGUUCUCUGAUAAGCAGUUACUAAGAGACAAAAAGAAAUAAGUGUCCCUCACGUUAUUAUAUAGUUACAGCUUUGGACAUUUUAUGAAUUGAAAAACAAACUUUCAUCUCAUCGGCUGCUAUGUAAUCUUUUACUGGUUCUGGCUAGUAUUUUCUAGCUCACUUUAUGUACCCCUGUCUGCAGCCCUCAACUUCUUUCCUGAGACUAGAAGUUUUCUUCAUAGUUUUGGCUCUCACUCCGCUGAACCAGAUUUUCUUGGGAUUUAUUUAGAGCAUUCAACAACCACAGUACUGUUAAAUCUGAUCUUUCUUGACUUCCUUGUUGAUGUCUCUAUGUGGCGAGCUAGGCUGACUAAUGGAUUGGGUCUUGUAACUGGGUGAUCUGCAAGGCAAAGAAAGUUAAAAAGCAUCGGACCUUGUGCUUCAAGAUGCCUUUCGAUGGUCAAGUUAGUGUUGUAGCAAGAGGGAAAGCCAGAUAUAAGAUGAUAAUGGUAAAACAGAAUAGAGAUUAUACCUGAAUUAGUAUCUAUAGUAGAUCUUCAGCUGCCUGUUUGUGCCCAGAUCUACUGGUUGGCCUGUUGUGAUGUCUCAUAUUUCAUGGAGCUGUUCUAAGUAUUUCUUAGACCUUAAUUGGAUCUUGGUGUAUGUAGGUGUAGGUAUAACAUGGAUUAUUGAACAGAAGGAAAGGAACCAAAGUCCAAAGAUAAGAAUGAGAGAAGGGCGAAGACAAGUUAGAGAAGGAAAUUGAAGGCAAUAAAAAUAAUAGUAAUAAUGCUGCUAAUUGGAUUUGAAUUGGAGAACAAAUUCCAGGAAAUAUCUAAAGUAGAUUGAGAUUCAUAAGGAUUGACUUCGAAGUUUGUCUAACUUGCCAUGCACUUCUCUAAUGCUUUCCUUGGCUUCUUCUGGGUUUCUUUUAUUAAUCUCUCUUCUUCUUUGGGUUUUGGCUGUGAGGCAAUUUAUAAG